Molecule: ribosomal RNA, 468 nt
Filed under: uncultured bacterium
Lineage: Bacteria
Description: partial 16S ribosomal RNA
Rfam family: Bacterial small subunit ribosomal RNA
Source: RNAcentral
GACGAACGCUGGCGGCGUGCUUAAUACAUGCAAGUCGAACGGAAAGGCCCUGCUUUUGUGGGGUGCUCGAGUGGCGAACGGGUGAGUAACACGUGAGUAACCUGCCCUUGACUUUGGGAUAACUUCAGGAAAAUGGGGCUAAUACCGGAUAGGAUCUCCUGCUGCAUGGUGGGGGUUGGAAAGUUUCGGCGGUGGGGGAUGGACUCGCGGCUUAUCAGCUUGUUGGUGGGGUAGUGGCUUAACAAGGUUUUGACGGGUAGCCGGCCUGAGAGGGUGACCGGCCACAUUGGGCCUGAGAUACGGACCAGACUCCUACGGGAGGCAACAGUGGGGAAUAUUGCACAAUGGGCGGAAGCCUGAUGCAGCAACGCCGCGUGCGGGAUGACGGCCUUCGGGUUGUAAACAGCUUUCGCCUGUAACGAAGCGUGAGUGACGGUAAUGGGUAAAGAAGCACCGGCUAACUACGUG